GAUGAACGCUGGCGGCGUGCCUAAUACAUGCAAGUCGAACGCUUUGUGGUUCAACUGAUUUGAAGAGCUUGCUCAGAUAUGACGAUGGACAUUGCAAAGAGUGGCGAACGGGUGAGUAACACGUGGGAAACCUACCUCUUAGCAGGGGAUAACAUUUGGAAACAGAUGCUAAUACCGUAUAACAAUGACAACCGCAUGGUUGUUAUUUAAAAGAUGGUUCUGCUAUCACUAAGAGAUGGUCCCGCGGUGCAUUAGCUAGUUGGUAAGGUAAUGGCUUACCAAGGCGAUGAUGCAUAGCCGAGUUGAGAGACUGAUCGGCCACAAUGGGACUGAGACACGGCCCAUACUCCUACGGGAGGCAGCAGUAGGGAAUCUUCCACAAUGGGCGAAAGCCUGAUGGAGCAACGCCGCGUGUGUGAUGAAGGGUUUCGGCUCGUAAAACACUGUUGUAAGAGAAGAAUGACAUUGAGAGUAACUGUUCAAUGUGUGACGGUAUCUUACCAGAAAGGAACGGCUAAAUACGUGCCAGCAGCCGCGGUAAUACGUAUGUUCCAAGCGUUAUCCGGAUUUAUUGGGCGUAAAGCGAGCGCAGACGGUUAUUUAAGUCUGAAGUGAAAGCCCUCAGCUCAACUGAGGAAUUGCUUUGGAAACUGGAUGACUUGAGUGCAGUAGAGGAAAGUGGAACUCCAUGUGUAGCGGUGAAAUGCGUAGAUAUAUGGAAGAACACCAGUGGCGAAGGCGGCUUUCUGGACUGUAACUGACGUUGAGGCUCGAAAGUGUGGGUAGCAAACAGGAUUAGAUACCCUGGUAGUCCACACCGUAAACGAUGAGUGCUAGGUGUUUGAGGGUUUCCGCCCUUAAGUGCCGCAGCUAACGCAUUAAGCACUCCGCCUGGGGAGUACGACCGCAAGGUUGAAACUCAAAGGAAUUGACGGGGACCCGCACAAGCGGUGGAGCAUGUGGUUUAAUUCGAAGCAACGCGAAGAACCUUACCAGGUCUUGACAUCCCUUGACAACUCCAGAGAUGGAGUGUUCCCUUCGGGGACAAGGUGACAGGUGGUGCAUGGUUGUCGUCAGCUCGUGUCGUGAGAUGUUGGGUUAAGUCCCGCAACGAGCGCAACCCUUAUUACUAGUUGCCAGCAUUCAGUUGGGCACUCUAGUGAGACUGCCGGUGACAAACCGGAGGAAGGUGGGGAUGACGUCAAAUCAUCAUGCCCCUUAUGACCUGGGCUACACACGUGCUACAAUGGCGUAUACAACGAGUUGCCAACCCGCGAGGGUGAGCUAAUCUCUUAAAGUACGUCUCAGUUCGGAUUGUAGGCUGCAACUCGCCUACAUGAAGUCGGAAUCGCUAGUAAUCGCGGAUCAGCACGCCGCGGUGAAUACGUUCCCGGGUCUUGUACACACCGCCCGUCACACCAUGAGAGUUUGUAACACCCAAAGCCGGUGGGGUAACCUUCGGGAGCCAGCCGUCUAAGGUGGGACAGAUGAUUAGGGUG
RNAcentral lists this ribosomal RNA (1499 nucleotides) under Weissella confusa. RNAcentral describes it as "bacterial SSU rRNA". It matches the Rfam family "Bacterial small subunit ribosomal RNA". Lineage: Bacteria; Bacillati; Bacillota; Bacilli; Lactobacillales; Lactobacillaceae. The record is from RNAcentral.